UACGUAGGGGGCUAGCGUUGUCCGGAAUCAUUGGGCGUAAAGCGCGCGUAGGCGGCCAGAUAAGUCCGGUGUGAAAGUCACAGGCUCAACCUGUGAAUGCCGCUGGAAACUGUCUGGCUAGAGUCCGGAAGGGGCGAGUGGAAUUCCUGGUGUAGCGGUGAAAUGCGCAGAUAUCAGGAAGAACACCCGUGGCGAAGGCGGCUCUCUGGGACGGUACUGACGCUGAGACGCGAAAGCGUGGGGAGCGAACAGG
Molecule: ribosomal RNA, 253 nt
Filed under: uncultured bacterium
Lineage: Bacteria
Description: partial 16S ribosomal RNA
Rfam family: Bacterial small subunit ribosomal RNA
Source: RNAcentral